CCGGGCUAAUACCGCGGGACGUGCAGCCAUCGCAUGGUGGCUGUACCAAAGGGGGCCUCUACUUGUAAGCUCUCGCCCAGGGAGGAGGUCGCGGCGUAUCAGGCUUGUUGGUGGGGUAACGGCCUACCAAGGCGACGACGCGUAGCGGGUCUGAGAGGACGAUCCGUCACGUUGGGACUGAGAUACGGCCCAGACUUC
Molecule: ribosomal RNA, 198 nt
Filed under: uncultured bacterium
Lineage: Bacteria
Description: partial 16S ribosomal RNA
Rfam family: Bacterial small subunit ribosomal RNA
Source: RNAcentral